This 2089-nucleotide ribosomal RNA is filed under the name Archichauliodes sp. CASENT8092159. RNAcentral's name for it is "SSU rRNA". It matches the Rfam family "Eukaryotic small subunit ribosomal RNA". Lineage: Eukaryota; Metazoa; Arthropoda; Insecta; Megaloptera; Corydalidae. The record is from RNAcentral.
CAAAGAUUAAGCCAUGCAUGUCUCAGUACGAGCCCGUCACGGGCGAAACCGCGAAAGGCUCAUUAUAUCAGUUAUGGUUCCUUAGAUCGUACCACAUUUUUACAUGGAUAACUGUGGUAAUUCUAGAGCUAAUACAUGCAAAUAGAGCUCCGGCCCAGAGAUGGGAGGGGUGCUUUUAUUAGAUCAAAACCAAUCGGUCCGCGUGCGUUUCGCGUGCCGCGUACGUACGCGGCGGCGCGGCUUCGCGGCCACGUCCGUCGCGCAACGGCGCGGUGCGCAUUCGCACGCUCCGUAUAUGCUUGGUGACUCUGAAUAACUUUGUGCUGAUCGCACGGUCACGUACCGGCGACGCAUCUUUCAAAUGUCUGCCUUAUCAACUGUCGACGGUAGGUUCUGCGCCUACCAUGGUCGUAACGGGUAACGGGGAAUCAGGGUUCGAUUCCGGAGAGGGAGCCUGAGAAACGGCUACCACAUCCAAGGAAGGCAGCAGGCGCGCAAAUUACCCACUCCCGGCACGGGGAGGUAGUGACGAAAAAUAACGAUACGGGACUCAAUCCGAGGCCUCGUAAUCGGAAUGAGUACACUUUAAAACCUUUAUCGAGGAUCCAUUAGAGGGCAAGUCUGGUGCCAGCAGCCGCGGUAAUUCCAGCUCUAAUAGCGUAUACUAAAGUUGUUGUGGUUAAAACGCCCGUAGUUGAUUUUUCGGCGUUGGAGGAUGGUAGCUCGAAAGAGUUUCACUGUUGCUCUGAGUCUGAUUUUGGGUUUUCUGUCGGUGCCCUUUAUUGGGUGUCGGCAGUGACUUGAACGUUUACUUUGAAAAAAUUAGAGUGCUUAAAGCAGGCUUUACGCUUGAAUAUAGUGCAUGGGAUAAUGGAAUAGGACUUUGGUCUUAUUUUGUUGGUUUUGAGGGCUGAAGUAAUGAUUAAGAGGAACAGCCGGGGGCAUUCGUAUUGUUGCGCUAGAGGUGAAAUUCUUGGACCGCAGCAAGACGAACAACUGCGAAAGCAUUUGCCAAGAAUGUUUUCAUUAAUCAAGGACGAAAGUUAGAGGUUCGAAGGCGAUCAGAUACCGCCCUAGUUCUAACCGUAAACGAUGCCAACUGGUUUUUUGCCGGUGUUAAUUAAUGACUCGGCAGGCGGCCUCCGGGAAACCAAAGUGUUCAGGUUCCGGGGGAAGUAUGGUUGCAAAGCUUAAACUUAAAGGAAUUGACGGAAGGGCACCACCAGGAGUGGAGCCUGCGGCUUAAUUUGACUCAACACGGGAAAYCUCACCAGGCCCGGACACCGGAAGGAUUGACAGAUUGAUAGCUCUUUCUUGAAUCGGUGGGUGGUGGCGCAUGGCCGUUCUCAGUUGGUGGAGUGAUUUGUCUGGUUAAUUCCGAUAACGAACAAGACUCUAGCCUGCUAAAUAGGCGUAAUAAACGGUAUUUCAAGGCCCGGCGUUGCGGAUGCGUGUUUCGCAUUGUUAUACUUGCAUUGCGCGCGCGCGCGUCAUCAUUUCGCAGGUGCGACUCGUUGUAUGCGAUCCGCAUCGUCGCGUGCGUACGUCUAGGCGUGCGUGCGCACGUGCGAAUCGUUGCCGUGCGUCCGUCGACAGAUGUAAGCGCGCGUCGCUCGUGCUCAGUAGGGCGGCGCGUAAUCAACGUCUGCCAUACGUUUGAGGUUUUUAUUACCGACGUCCAUAGAAAUCUUCUUAGAGGGACGGGCGGAUUCUAUCCACACGAGAUUGAGCAAUAACAGGUCUGUGAUGCCCUUAGAUGUUCUGGGCCGCACGCGCGCUACACUGAAGGAAUCAGCGUGUCCUCCUUGGCUGAAAGGUCCAAGUAAACCGCUGAACCUCGUUCGUGCUAGGGAUUGGGGCUUGCAAUUGUUCCCCAUGAACGAGGAAUUCCCAGUAAGCGCGAGUCGUAAGCUCGCGUUGAUUACAUCCCUGCCCUUUCUACAGACCGCCCGUCGCUAACACCGAUUGAAUGAUUUAGUGAGAUCUUCAGACUGGUGCGCGGCAGCGUUUCAACAUUGCCGCCGUUGCUGGGAAGUUGAGCAAAGUUGAUCAUUUAGAGGAAGUAAAAGUCGUAACAAGGUUUCCGUAG